AGUCCUUGAGCUUGCAAGGCAGGUGGCAGAGCCACUAAGCUAAAUCCCUGGCCCUCAAAGCUGCUCUUAAGCCAGACUGUGACACCUGAUCCUCUUACAACUACAGACCUGACCUGGCAUCUGCAGGAGCCAGGUGCCUUGAGGGGUAGCCUGGUGGACAGGUGAGGCUCACCCUGGUUCAGGUGCACUCCAGGAUCUAGCUGCUUGGCCACCUCCUUGGAUUGGGUCAGGCGUGGGCUCAGGACCCCUCUUCCCUGAAGAAACAUGUUCCUGAGGACCUGAAGAGUCCCAGGGCAGAAGGCAGGCCUGGCCGGGGUGGUCAGGAUUCACAACCCUUCUCGACCUGACACACAGAGGCUUUGGGCACUGGAGAAGCUGCUAGUCCCACUGGGAGGGCAGGGCUUUGUCCCUCAGCUGGGCGCUGGGGCCGCAGGGGACAGCUGAAGCACUUAUCACCCCAGUGGGCACCAAGCCCAGAGGGGUGUGGUCUUCCUGAUCAUUGGAGGCCUCUCUGGGUAACCCUAGGGUGGGCUGAUCUUCAGCAAGCAUGGGAGCAGGUGCUGUCACUCUCCUAGACGGACUCUCAGCUCUGCUUAGACAGAGGCAGGUAGGAGGGCAGACAGAUGCUAGUGUAGGACCAUGGCAUAUGCACCUGACCUCCCAAAUGCAGGUCUCUUCUGGAGGUCUGGACUCAGCACUGUGCUUGCCCUACAGGGACCCUUAUCACCCCCACAAAGAAGCAGGGCAGCUGGGCCAAGCCCAACCACCUCAGCGCUCUAGGUGCCCCCACUCCGGGGUCUGAGGCUGAUGUCCCCGUUGGGCCACUUACCACUGGGCCCCAGGGCUGGCAGUGCCUGCUGCCUGUGGGAAAGGCCAGGCUCUGGCCAGCUACUGCAGCCUUGACCAGUGAGCUGAAUGCAGAUGUCCUUAAACUGCUGUUUGUGGUGGGGCCAGCACAAACUGGUAGAAGCCUGUUGGGGAGGGUUAAGUCCAGACCUAUAGAUUCCAUGCCCUUCAGCCACAGGGCUGGGGACCCUGGGGACCAUGAGCUGCCCACUCGGCUCCUUCCAGAAAGCAAGAACAACUUGGGGCCGUGGUAGCCUCCUGCCCAUUCUGGCAGCCCCCACCCACUGCACAGCUGUGGCCCUGUCCAUGGCAGAGCCUUCUGCAGGCUAGGGCACCUUGGAGCAGGGUGUGCUUCUUGGGGUCUUCAGCAAAGAGGCAACUGAGGCAGUCCAUCAGUGCUUUGAGGUCUCCCGGAACCCUUGUAGACCUUCAGGGCCUGGGUAAAGGUGUCAAAGCUAGCUUGGCUCAGUGUCUGCUUCACAGCCACCAUGAACAGCUUGGCUGCGCUCUUCCUGUGUACCAGCUUCUGGCUUCUCCUGAUGGACACAUGCCCAAGGCCACUGUCAGGACCAGCCCUGUCCCUCCUGCCCCCAGGGCAGUGCAGACCCCAAGACUCCCAGGGCCUGUAGGUGCUGCUGCCUGGUGGGGACAGAGGGUGGAGGCCCCUGGAGGAGAAGCUCAGUCCUGGAGCAUGGGUGGCCUCGGCCUGGCUGGGGUCACACCAGAGGCAGCCAGGAGGCCUGUAGAACCCACAAGUUCUCCUCCCCAAGGCAGGUACAGCUAGAGCUGAGCUCUGGAGAACCAGCAGCUCACAGCAAGGGCGUGCUCCACAGACUCCAGCCCACUUCUGCGUGCCUCAGACCCAGAGAAACCAAAGCAAAGAUGGCACAGCCAGCCCCCACCUUGCCCUGCCCAGCCCACAGAGGGCCUAGCCUUUUAGCAGCCAGUCCACUUCCUGCAGGCACCAGCCCUAGCUGGGCACUGCCUGGUUCUUCCCAGAAGCUGAGGGACAUGGACAAAAGCAACCACACUUGGGGCUUUCCAGCAGGCAAAGGGGCUUCCUGCCUCAGCCUGUUAAUCAGUUGCUUUCAUCUGAGACUGGGGACAUUCUGUACUGCCUCACACAGGCCAGAGCUACAACUCAGGAAAAGCCAGGGCCAAGAGGACAGUGGUCCACCAUCGCUGGGAGAAUCAUGGAUGGCUGCAGGCCCUGAACAGAAUGUACCCAGGGGCUGGGCCAGAUUCUGGCUGGGAAAGAUGGGCUCUCACGGAAGGAACUGCAAACAAACUCCCUGGGCUUUCAACAUCUCAGCUACCCAGGAAGUCCAUUUCCAUGGGUCUGCUCUGGCUCACACCCCUGCUUGGUUGGGGGCCACCUGUGCAGGAGCCAGAUUUCCAGACUGUGCGUGAGCGGCCAGGAGACUGCAGAGAGGGCUCACAUACCUGGUGGCUGACCAGCCUGACCUUCUUCCUUCCUCCUCUCUGCUCAUCAGCCAGCCUCUUCUCACACUGAAGGGACAGGGUAGACCGACCAACUGCCUAAAGGGGACACAGCUGUGGUCUCAACCCAACCCUGAGAGUACCUGUGACAUCCCUCGGCUCCCCACGAUCCCUGGUUGCUCUCUGGGUCCUCCACAGCCGGCGAUCCUGUAGGAGCAUUGGUAUGGCAGCAAAGCUUACCGGAGGCCAGCCUGCAGGAAGCAACUAGUCCUGCCAGGUGGGCUCCUGCCUCUGCCCUGCAUGGCCCUCAUCCAGCCCCACACACCUGCUGGCUUCUGCCUCAGGCUGGGCACAUGCACGUCUAGACUUGUGGCUUUUCUGGUUGCGAGGAGAGGUCCAGGCAAUGUGGUCACCUUGGCAGCAGCUUUUCCCUCACCCACACCUGGGGCCAAAGCCCUGGGGACUGGGGCGGGCAUCUGCAGGACGAAGGGUGUGUGAGGGCUGCCUCUGUGGCUCCUCGGGUGGGGGGACACCCAUCCCCCCUUGGGCAGAGUGUGAGGCAGCCGGGCAUUCAGGUGCUCACAGUUCUCUGAGCAACACGGAAGAACUGGGCUACAUCCCGGAUGACAUGGCCAAAGUUGUUGUACACCUUGAGGUAGGGGCGCACCCAGGAGGGCAGCUGGGCUUUGGCAUCUGCAUAGGUGAACCUGGAGGGAUAUGCAGCCAUCAGCCCAGCGUGCUCUGCUCAAGGGCCCAAGGCCAGCCCUCCCUGUAGCUCAUACCACUACUGCACAGAGGUCUCCAAGUGGAGCCAUGAAGCUCAGACCCCACAGAGCCAGAGGCUACCAUGGCCUUCACGGAGGGGAAGAAGGUCCAGGGCAGAGAAAGCCCUUGAGCAGUGGGAGCAUGUGGGGUGGCUAGGUGGAGCCCUGUCAGUACCUGUGGUCACACAAGAAGAUGGCCCCAUAGUCAUGGCGGUGCCUGAUGACCCGCCCAAUGGCCUGGUUCACAGCCCUGGACGCCUGCUGCCGGUACCAUUCUUGCCCUGAGAGGAACUACAGGGCAAGAGUCUCAAGCACAGAGACCCCUGGUCACUGGGUCCUUGCUUUUUCCCUGCCCCUGGCCCUGUGGUCUCACCUGGCCUCCAGCUUGGCUCUGGCCCCGCAUCUCAUCCAGGAACUGCAUCUUGAGGACAACCCGAGGAUCCAUGCGUGGGGGAUACGGGAGGCCCGUGAUGAUCACACCACGACCAUUUAUGUCUGAGAAGUCCAGCCCCUCGCUGGCCUAGGACCUGAACCCAGGAAUUGCCUAGGGGUGGCGGGCAUUCCCCUUCCCUACUUGCUUUUCCCGAAGCUUGGCACUUUCCUCAAGGGUCCAUCUAUAUCCUAACCUCAGCCACCUCUCCCUACUACGGGGAGAGGUAGAAGGAAGCUCCUCUCUUGGGCCAGGCCCUCCACAGCUCCCAGAACCCCAUGACCAACACCCCCAUGCUCAGAACCUCCUGUGUCUUGCCUCUCCCUGGCCUAUGCCAGCCAGGGCCCAGCAGGCCCCAUAGCUCCACUCCCUCAUCUGUUUGCGCGAUGUGGGGCCCAAGGCAGGGAUGGACCUGUGCCCUGAGGGCCUGAUGAGCCCUGAGCCCCUACCAGAGGCCAGGCAGGGACUCAGACUCUCACAAAGGCCUCACCUUGCCCCGGCACACCGCCAGGAAGGUAGCCCCACUGGACCCAGGGGAGGCGACACGCUGGUAAUAAGCAUCGAUGACCUAGAAGGCGAGGACAGUCACCCCAAGCUCUGAGCCCCAGCCCCUUCCUCCUCAAGUCAUGAUGACCCCAUAGCUCACCCUGGGAAGAAGGCCUCAUCCCGGCCACACCCAACCCACACGCAGCGCCCAAAGCCGGUUCAGUUUCCCCGUGAACACAGGGAACCCCAGGGUGAGGGCAGCACGUAGGGCAUGAGGGUCAGCUGUCACUGUCACCAUGUCCAAAUGCUUUUAGCAACUUUCUAAACAGCUACACACCCAGGGACAGGGAGGCAGCCCAGGCCCCCUGAAGAGGCAGCCUGGAGCCAGCCAGAGCCCGGGUCAGAGAUGGAGGCCAUCCCAGGAGCCUCCAGGGGCUCUGCGGGGUCAGCAGGCCCAGAGUCCAGGUUGGGCACAGACCUCUGAGAAGCUGCCUUUGCUUCUGGGCUCCACAAACAGAGGUUUCAGCACCUCCACCUUCCUGGCCAAGUCUCGGGCCUGUGGAAGGAAGUCAGGACGUGCACAGGCCAGGCACUCACCCACUGGACCUGCGCAAGCUCAGGGCUCCCACAGCUGCCUCUGUACCCUGGCACUGCCCACCCACCUGGCCUCUUGGAGGGGAGGGGAGGGGGUCGUACCCGCCAGAAGGCCAGGCUGUUCUCCAUGACAGGGUAGGAAGGGAAGAAGACCAGAAGCCCAUGGGGCACUACACGGGCGAUGUUGCCUGGAAGCAGAGGACUGGUCAGGAUAGGUGCUGGGCGUCUGCAGACUUCCACCGCCCUUGGGAAGAG
Molecule: long non-coding RNA, 4815 nt
Filed under: Heterocephalus glaber (naked mole-rat)
Lineage: Eukaryota; Metazoa; Chordata; Mammalia; Rodentia; Bathyergidae
Description: lncRNA (ENSHGLG00000050508.1)
Source: RNAcentral